GACGAACGCUGGCGGCGUGCCUAAUACAUGCAAGUCGAACGCAGUGGGGACGGGUGAGUAACACGUGGGUAACCUCCCCUCAGAGGGGAUAACACUUGGAAACAGGUGCUAAACCGAUACUGAUGGAUGGACCCGCGGGGCAUUAGCUAGUUGGUGAGGUAACGGCUCACCAAGGCCACGAUGCAUAGCCGACCUGAGAGGGUGAUCGGCCACACGGGGACUGAGACACGGCCCAGACUCCUACGGGAGGCAGCAGUAGGGAAUCUUCGGCAAUGGACGAAAGCCUGAUGGAGCAAUGCCGCGUGAGUGAAGAAGGUCUUCGGAUUGUAAAGUUCUUUCGGCAGAGAAGCGUUACCCAAAGAGAAAGCAACGGCUAACUCCGUGCCAGCAGCCGCGGUAAUAC
This 403-nucleotide ribosomal RNA is filed under the name uncultured bacterium. RNAcentral's name for it is "partial 16S ribosomal RNA". It matches the Rfam family "Bacterial small subunit ribosomal RNA", at positions 28 to 526 of the family's 1533-position model. The record is from RNAcentral.